Molecule: ribosomal RNA, 19 nt
Filed under: Baikiaea plurijuga
Lineage: Eukaryota; Viridiplantae; Streptophyta; Magnoliopsida; Fabales; Fabaceae
Description: partial 26S ribosomal RNA
Source: RNAcentral
CACGCUACCUCAGCUCAGG